GACGAACGCUGGCGGCGUGCUUAACACAUGCAAGUCGAACGGAAAGGCCCUUCGGGGUCCUCGAGUGGCGAACGGGUGCGUAACACGUGGGUGAUCUGCCCUGCACUUUGGGAUAAGCCUGGGAAACUGGGUCUAAUACCGAAUAUGAUCAUCGGCUUCAUGGUCGGUGGUGGAAAGCUUUUGCGGUGUGGGAUGGGCCCGCGGCCUAUCAGCUUGUUGGUGGGGUAAUGGCCUACCAAGGCGACGACGGGUAGCCGGCCUGAGAGGGUGACCGGCCACACUGGGACUGAGAUACGGCCCAGACUCCUACGGGAGGCAGCAGUGGGGAAUAUUGCACAAUGGGCGCAAGCCUGAUGCAGCGACGCCGCGUGAGGGAUGACGGCCUUCGGGUUGUAAACCUCUUUCAGCACAGACGAAGCGCAAGUGACGGUAUGUGCAGAAGAAGGACCGGCCAACUACGUG
RNAcentral lists this ribosomal RNA (462 nucleotides) under uncultured bacterium. RNAcentral describes it as "partial 16S ribosomal RNA". It matches the Rfam family "Bacterial small subunit ribosomal RNA", at positions 28 to 507 of the family's 1533-position model. The record is from RNAcentral.